This 88-nucleotide transfer RNA is filed under the name Xylaria palmicola. RNAcentral describes it as "tRNA-Tyr". It matches the Rfam family "tRNA". From Rfam's summary of the family: Transfer RNA (tRNA) molecules are approximately 80 nucleotides in length. Their secondary structure includes four short double-helical elements and three loops (D, anti-codon, and T loops). Lineage: Eukaryota; Fungi; Ascomycota; Sordariomycetes; Xylariales; Xylariaceae. The record is from RNAcentral.
CUCCUGAUGGCACAGUUGGUAGCGCGUUGGACUGUAAUUGAAAUUGCUGAAAAUCCACAGGUCGUGUGUUCGAAUCACACUCAGGAGA